UGGGGAAUCUUGCACAAUGGGGGAAACCCUGAUGCAGCGACGCCGCGUGAACGAUGAAGCCCUUCGGGGUGUAAAGUUCUUUCGACAGGAACGAUAAUGACGGUACCUGGAGAAGAAGCUGCGGCUAACUACGUGCCAGCAGCCGCGGUAAUACGUAGGCAGCGAGCGUUGUUCGGAGUUACUGGGCGUAAAGAGUGCGUAGGCGGCGAGCCAAGUUUGGUGUGAAAUCUCCCGGCUUAACCGGGGGGGUGCGCCGAAAACUGGUUGGCUGGAGUAUGGGAGAGUAAAGCGGAAUUCCUGGUGUAGCGGUGAAAUGCGUAGAGAUCAGGAGGAACACCUGCGGUGCAGACGGCUUUCUGGACCAUCACUGACGCUGAGGCACGAAAGCGUGGGUAGCAAACA
RNAcentral lists this ribosomal RNA (402 nucleotides) under uncultured bacterium. RNAcentral's name for it is "bacterial SSU rRNA". It matches the Rfam family "Bacterial small subunit ribosomal RNA", at positions 355 to 774 of the family's 1533-position model. The record is from RNAcentral.